GUGAGGAAUUUUCCGCAAUGGGCGAAAGCCUGACGGAGCAAUGCCGCGUGAAGGAUGAAGGCCUAUGGGUUGUAAACUUCUUUUCUCAGAAAAGAAUUAUGACGGUAUCUGAGGAAUAAGCAUCGGCUAACUCUGUGCCAGCAGCCGCGGUAAGACAGAGGUUGCAAGCGUUAUCCGGAAUGAUUGGGCGUAAAGCGUCUGUAGGUUGUUUAAAAAGUAUUCUGUCAAAGAUUAGGGCUUAACCCUAGAUAGGCAGAAUAAACUUUUAAGCUAGAGUUUGGUAGAGGCAGAGGGAAUUCCCGGUGGAGCGGUGAAAUGCGUAGAUAUCGGGAGGAACACCAAAGGCGAAGGCACUCUGCUGGGCCAAUACUAACACUGAGAGACGAAAGCGAGGGGAGCAAAUGGGAUUAGAAACCCGGGUAGUCC
This 426-nucleotide ribosomal RNA is filed under the name uncultured bacterium. Its description in RNAcentral is "partial 16S ribosomal RNA". It matches the Rfam family "Bacterial small subunit ribosomal RNA", at positions 354 to 796 of the family's 1533-position model. The record is from RNAcentral.